GUAGUCUCGCACAGAUGCAUAUCAAUAAGCGGAGGAAAAGAAACUAACAAGGAUUCCCCUAGUAACGGCGAGUGAAGCGGGAAGAGGCUCAAAUUUGAAAUCUUAAAGGGUUUCCCUUUACGAAUUGUAGUUUAAAGAAGUGUUUUCUGUUGAGGUUUUGGUAAAAGUUCUUUGGAAUAGGACAUCAUAGAGGGUGAGAAUCCCGUAUUUGACCUUUACUUUCAACUUUGUGAUACACUUUCAAAGAGUCGGAUUGUUUGGGAAUGCAGUCCAAAAUGGGUGGUAAAUUUCAUCUAAAGCUAAAUAUUGGCGAGAGACCGAUAGCGGACAAGUACCGUGAGGGAAAGAUGAAAAGAACUUUGAAAAGAGAGUUAAACAGUACGUGAAAUUGUCAAAAGGGAAGCGUUUGACACCAGUGUUGUUUUUCUGAAAAUCAAUUAAAGAACUGUUUAUGCUAAGCUGUUUAGACUUUAUCAAGCUAACUGUUUAGUUUUGAGCUUUUCUUUAAUGCACUUUUCAGGUUAACAAGUCAACAUCAAUUUCUUUUGCUGUAAAAAAGCUUGAGGAAGGUGGCUUGAGAUUCGUCUUAAGUGUUUAUAGCCUCUUGCCUAUGCAGUCGGAGAGAUUGAGGUCUGCAGCGUAGAUCCUUCGGGGCUAAAUGCAUUUGUGCUAAGUUAUAGCAUUUUAUAGACAACUUGUUGACUAUGAUUUGUCUUGUAGCUUACUCGCUUAUGUUAUUUUACCUACGCUUAGGAUGUUGAAGACUCUACAGAGAUA
This 777-nucleotide ribosomal RNA is filed under the name uncultured Neocallimastigales. Its description in RNAcentral is "partial large subunit ribosomal RNA". It matches the Rfam family "Eukaryotic large subunit ribosomal RNA", at positions 24 to 633 of the family's 3401-position model. Lineage: Eukaryota; Fungi; Neocallimastigomycota; Neocallimastigomycetes; Neocallimastigales. The record is from RNAcentral.